RNAcentral lists this ribosomal RNA (465 nucleotides) under Vreelandella stevensii. RNAcentral describes it as "partial 16S ribosomal RNA". It matches the Rfam family "Bacterial small subunit ribosomal RNA", at positions 338 to 795 of the family's 1533-position model. The record is from RNAcentral. Lineage: Bacteria; Pseudomonadati; Pseudomonadota; Gammaproteobacteria; Oceanospirillales; Halomonadaceae.
CCUACGGGGGGCAGCAGUGGGGAAUAUUGGACAAUGGGGGGAACCCUGAUCCAGCCAUGCCGCGUGUGUGAAGAAGGCCCUCGGGUUGUAAAGCACUUUCAGUGAGGAAGAACGCCUGGUGGUUAAUACCCAUCAGGAAAGACAUCACUCACAGAAGAAGCACCGGCUAACUCCGUGCCAGCAGCCGCGGUAAUACGGAGGGUGCGAGCGUUAAUCGGAAUUACUGGGCGUAAAGCGCGCGUAGGUGGCUUGAUAAGCCGGUUGUGAAAGCCCCGGGCUCAACCUGGGAACGGCAUCCGGAACUGUCAAGCUAGAGUGCAGGAGAGGAAGGUAGAAUUCCCGGUGUAGCGGUGAAAUGCGUAGAGAUCGGGAGGAAUACCAGUGGCGAAGGCGGUCUUCUGGACUGACACUGACACUGAGGUGCGAAAGCGUGGGUAGCAAACAGGAUUAGAUACCCGUGUAGUC